Molecule: ribosomal RNA, 253 nt
Filed under: uncultured bacterium
Lineage: Bacteria
Description: partial 16S ribosomal RNA
Rfam family: Bacterial small subunit ribosomal RNA
Source: RNAcentral
UACGGAGGGUGCAAGCGUUAUCCGGAUUCACUGGGUUUAAAGGGUGCGUAGGUGGGCAAGUAAGUCAGUGGUGAAAUCUCCGGGCUUAACCCGGAAACUGCCAUUGAUACUAUUUGUCUUGAAUACUGUGGAGGUCAGCGGAAUAUGUCAUGUAGCGGUGAAAUGCUUAGAUAUGACAUAGAACACCGAUUGCGAAGGCAGCAGGCUACACAAAUAUUGACGCUGAGGCACGAAAGCGUGGGGAUCAAACAGG